This 452-nucleotide ribosomal RNA is filed under the name uncultured bacterium. RNAcentral's name for it is "bacterial SSU rRNA". It matches the Rfam family "Bacterial small subunit ribosomal RNA", at positions 340 to 786 of the family's 1533-position model. The record is from RNAcentral.
UACGGGAGGCAGCAGUGGGGAAUAUUGCACAAUGGGCGCAAGCCUGAUGCAGCCAUGCCGCGUGUAUGAAGAAGGCCUUCGGGUUGUAAAGUACUUUCAGUCGUGAGGAAGGUGUUAAGGUUAAUAACCUUAGCAAUUGACGUUAGCGACAGAAGAAGCACCGGCUAACUCCGUGCCAGCAGCCGCGGUAAUACGGAGGGUGCGAGCGUUAAUCGGAAUUACUGGGCGUAAAGGGCACGCAGGCGGUUAAUUAAGUUGGAUGUGAAAUCCCCGAGCUUAACCUGGGAAUGGCAUUCAAGACUGGUUAGCUAGAGUCUUGUAGAGGGGGUAGAAUUCCAUGUGUAGCGGUGAAAUGCGUAGAGAUGUGGAGGAAUACCGGUGGCGAAGGCGGCCCCUGGACAAGACUGACGCUCAUGUGCGAAAGCGUGGGGAGCAAACGAGGAUUAGAUACC